GAGUCGCCAAGCGGUAAGGCAAUGGACUCUGGAUCCAUCAUUCGGGGGUUCGAAUCCCUCCUC
RNAcentral lists this transfer RNA (63 nucleotides) under Candidatus Portnoybacteria bacterium CG_4_10_14_0_2_um_filter_43_36. RNAcentral describes it as "tRNA-Gln". It matches the Rfam family "tRNA", at positions 5 to 66 of the family's 71-position model. From Rfam's summary of the family: Transfer RNA (tRNA) molecules are approximately 80 nucleotides in length. Their secondary structure includes four short double-helical elements and three loops (D, anti-codon, and T loops). Further hydrogen bonds mediate the characteristic L-shaped molecular structure. tRNAs have two regions of fundamental functional importance: the anti-codon, which is responsible for specific mRNA codon recognition, and the 3' end, to which the tRNAs corresponding amino acid is attached (by aminoacyl-tRNA synthetases). tRNAs cope with the degeneracy of the genetic code in two manners: having more than one tRNA (with a specific anti-codon) for a particular amino acid; and 'wobble' base-pairing, i.e. permitting non-standard base-pairing at the 3rd anti-codon position. Lineage: Bacteria; Candidatus Portnoyibacteriota. The record is from RNAcentral.